Molecule: long non-coding RNA, 18785 nt
Filed under: Coffea arabica (coffee)
Lineage: Eukaryota; Viridiplantae; Streptophyta; Magnoliopsida; Gentianales; Rubiaceae
Description: long non-coding RNA (CARA_LNC008221)
Source: RNAcentral
UUUGAUAAAAUAAUUGGAGUUUUUGGGUUGAGAUUUGUUUGGUUGGGUUUUGGUAUAAAAUUUGGGUCAUUUUAUUGGGUUUUAGAAAUGGGUUUUGGUUUAUUUCUUGUGGGUUUGGGUUGGGCUAAGAAGUCAAAACCCAUGUAUUUAUUUGAGUUGAAUUGAGUGAUAAAAAAGACGGGCUGCCCAUUUCUUUCUUGGAUUUUCAGUUGGGCUGAGAGGGUUUUCGGCCCAAACAAAUAAAUAAAAUGGCCCAGUGGCCCAUUUGGCUGAGAAAUCUGGUUACGAAAUUGCAAAUCAGUCCCUGUACCCUUGAGCAUUUUCUCUAUGGCCCUAAAUAUUUUGAUUUCUUUCAAUCAGAUCCUUCAUAUAAUUGUAAAUAGGUCCCUGAACUUUAUUUUUAUUUAAUUGUGAUCCCAUAUCUUUGUGAUAAUUAUAAUUUGCCCCCAAAACUUUGUUUAUUUUUGCAAUUAGAUCCUUAACAGAUUGGAUUGCUUAAAUAGAAGUUGCUUUUCUUCUAUAAUCAUUGAUUACACUUCAUUUAAGUGUUUCAAUUGAUUGAUUUCAUUUUUAUUUCCAUUUGCUAUGAUUUAUUUGUUAUUUAAAUUGGUGCCUUGAUGAUUUUGUUAAUUUUGGAGGUAAAUAGGGCAAAUCCAAUUUCCCAUUAAUUACUACUUCAAGGGAGGUAUCUUCUUGUAUCAUUUUAAAUCCUCUUAUGUGCUCCAAUGUGUUUUAUGUGCAAUCACAUGUUUCGAGUGUUAUUCUUUUAUUUAUUAUUAUUCUUUUCUUUUUAUUAUUGUGAUUCAUUUUUAAUUUUAUUUAUUUUAUUUUAUUUUAUUCUUGAUUAUUUGAGAAGGCAAUUAAAUGUCACAAUUGUAAUAGUUAGGUAUUUAUUUUAAUUAUUUAUUUUAUUUCCCUUUUAGAUUGUAGUAGGCUUCCCCCCUAAUGUAAUAGUUAGGGCUUGUUUGCUUUAUUUACUUGGUGUGAUUUGCGUGCUUCUUGCUACGUGUUACUGUUUUUCUUAGGAUAUUUGCAUCUAGAUAUUAUGCUUACAUGUUAUGUGUUACGUGCUCUUAUGUGUUUAUUUAUUUUAAUUUAUACUUUAUUUGUUUACUAUGUAUUGUUAAUGCAUAACGUCACCACACUAGUCCAACGCUAGUUGUGGCUUCUCCUUCUAUUUACUUGCUAGUCCAACGCUAGUAAGGAUUUCUAGAAAUGGGCUAGUCCAACGCUAGACCCGUAUAUGGUUCAUGCAUUAGAUUCAUUGUUGUAUGAUAUUUAUUACAUUUUCAUGCAUAUUUUAUUUUUUAGGAUCUUUUCUCAUUUGCAUGAUAUUUUCAAUUAUAUUAUCCUCUACCCCUUACCCUCUACAUAUGUUAAUCAUAUCAUUUAGAAUUGCAUUUCAUUUAAGAAAUUGUGGAAUAAGUUAGUUCAUUCGCUUGUUCAUAUUAGAAUAAUUAUUCUUUGAACAGGAAAAUGGGUUAUUAUGACUUUUUUAGUUUAAAUAUCCCAUUAAUCCCUGUAUGAUAAAAUUAUGUCACGAGUUUUUGUCUCCCGUACCCAUUAUGAUGCAUCCCUAUUCUUUGAUCACUUAUAUCUAUGUAUAGAAUUUAAUUUGCUUCUUCUGUUUAUUUGAUUUCAUCAUUUGCAUAUUCGUGACUCCUUCAAGGUAUUGUUUUGGCCUUCGCAAUUAAUGCGAUUGAUACCAAGUAAACCCUUGAAUGAACAUUUUGUCCCUCUCGAUAUUUCUAUUUGCAUCCAUGUAGAAAACAUCCAAAUGUGAUAAAUUUAAAGGUUAGAUUAAGAAAAUUUUGACUAAACACGCAACUAGCUUAGACUAGGUUGAAAGGGUGCCUUAGGUUUGAGUUGAUUGAACCUUUGCCUUCCCUUUCUUCAACCGUGACUCCCGAACUCAUUUUCUCUUGUUUUCAAAGACCUGGAGUUGUCUAAAAGGGUUUUAUAUAUUUUAUUUUUGUUAAAAAUAUUUUUGGGUGACUUGGUACACCAAAACUCAAUAUCAAGUGGCGACUCCUAAUUUUUCUUAAAAAUCCUUUUCAGACUAAAUUUUGGACCCAAAUCGUCGCAUUUUUUAAGUCCCAUUCUUGGUCCUUUUUCAUUUAUUUUUUUAAUAAAAUCACAUCUUUUUAUAAACUCAUUUUAUUUUCCCAUCGGAAAAAUGAGGCGCGACAGCUUGGCGACUCCACUGGGGACCGCUAGAGAGUCCAAGCACUUGGUUUAGUUGUUCUUUUCUCUUUUUAACCCUUUUAUUUAUCAUAUUUGGAUGUUUUAGGUUGCAUUUUUCUUUUGUUUUGCAUUUCACACUCGUAAUCGUUCCUCGUUUUACGUGUAUGGGAUGAAUGGCUUAUUUAUUUAUUUAUUUAUUCGUAUCACGCUUUGCAUUUGGGUGGGGGAAAAUAUCACCGUAGAGCCUCCAUGCUUGUUUUAAUAAUCCCUCCCUUCAAAAGGAAGCACUUCAUACGUGCAUGCACUACUUUUCACCAUAUUUUUAUUUUUCUCGUGGGCGCCAUCCCACAUCUCCUUGUAGGAUUAGGAUCGAUUUCCUUAGGUAGGCGGAUGGUGUGCUCUGCGCCCAUAGCGAUGCUUAAGGGAUCACUCAAGCCACCGACCGAAGGUUUUAGGAUUGAUGACCCUUAAUUUUUUGGUCUGAAGGCUCGGGGACCUUAAAAUCUAUCGAGUCUAGAUGCAUUAGUGAGCCCAUACCCCAUGCAUCCAUAUUAGAAAUUACCUAAGAUAAGAGUCAACAUAUCCAGUUAGGGACACUAAGCACGAGGGGAGGGAUUUUACCCCUCUUUCUUUGCUUUAUUUACUUUUUAUCCUUGUAUCAUUUAUUGUCACAAUGUGUUAUAUGUUACUUGUUGAACUAACCUCUCCUUGUUUUCCCUUUUUCUGCAUACACAAACUUUAGAAAUAAGAGUUCUAACAUGGUACUCGUUUAAGAUAAGACCGCCUCUUAUAUCAAGCAUGUUUAAAUUUUAGUCAAUUGCAUAUGCAUAUGUAUUGCACAUCAUUUUAGGCUUACCCCGGCAUUUAAAGAGGGCACUUUUAGGUCAUAUUUCAAUUAUUUAAUCGCUUUAAUAAAUUGGCAUCAUGCAUCAACUAUAGAGGGAAUGCCGUAUAGGGAAUCCCGUGUUAGGAAUAAACCACCUUAUGUCUCGGAUAUAUAAUCCAAUGAGACUUGCACGUUUAUUUUUUUUGUACUGUCCAAAGGGGUAGUGCACGAGGUAAGGUAAGAUCCGAUCUUUUCAAAGACGGCAGAGCAAUUUUUUGCACAUUAGAAUAUGAGCAUCUAACAAUCAUCUUUUGGCCAUUUUCAACAUAUGUGGUAAAAAUCCCUUGCUUAAAGGAUAUUGACUUGAAGAAAUUCACAAAUGAUUCCUCAUUGUUGAGACGAUAAAUAUAUUGAGGCCAAAUCUUGAUUUUAGGAGGCUCAUAGACUAAUGCAUCGCAAUGAAUUUUGAAAAUUACCAAUGAGUGGACAAUUCAAUCCAUUUUUGAAUAAAACAUCAAUUUCAAUCAAUUCACUUGAUCAAUUUAUCCUUUUUGGGUGAUCUGAUCGAUUUUUGAAUAAAUCAUUAACUUCAUUUCAUUCAUUUGGCCAAUUCACCCAUUUUUAGGGCCAAUCGAACUGAUUUUGAAUAAAUCAAGUUUCACUCAAUCCAUUUGACCAAUCUACCCUUUUUUAGGGUGAUCCGAUCAAUUUUGAAUAAAUCAAAUUUCAUUCAAUUCAUUUGACCAAUCUACCUAUUUUUAGUGCAAUUCGGUCGAUUUUAAAUAAAUCAUCAAUUCCAUCCUAUCCAUUUGACCCGUUUUUUUUUCCUUUAGGGUCUAAGCCUAAGAUUCAUUGAAUAAAUUAAUCGAGACAAUGCAAUCUCUUUCACACAUCAUUUUAUGUGUUGAUCGAAACAAGCAAUCCAUUCGGACUUUGUCCUCAUUUUUCAAACAAAUGUCUCUUCUCACUCCAAUUGGCCAAGUUUUUCAAAUCAUUUUUUUCAUUCAAUCAAUUGAUCGGAUUCAUCAGGUAUUGUAUGGUGCCUACACUAGAGGAUUGCAUUUUCAUGUUAGGCCUACCCUUGGCAUAAAAGGGCUCCCCCAUAGGACAUGCAUACCGAUUUUGUAGUCUUACCUACUGACUCGGGGUAUUUCUUUUGUUUCCCCCCUCCCCUGCAUUCAUAAAAAUGCUUUAAUAAGGUGAAAAUAUUUUUCUAUGUCUGCUAAAAUUUGAGAACUACAAGUAUUAUUUGAUUCUUGGGCAGAUCCUACAAUGAAAACAUGAAAGAUCCAUCUGAAAGCUUUGGGCUAAAGCCUCUGAGAGACUUUAUAAUUAUUUUUCAAAGGGAACUUUCGUUUAUUUGAUUUGAUUAUACAUUUUGUUCCAAAAGAAAGGGAGACAAAAGCGUAUAUGUGGGGUUUUGUAGAAGUUUUCUCUUCUCAUUUGUAUUAUAAUUCAACAAGAAAUUUUUGUUUUAAACUUUUUCAGCAAUAAAGUUUUAGACAAUUAUUGUUUUGUAUAUAAUCAUGUACAUUUCAUUCUUUCUGUUGCUCAUUGGAGAUUUCAUGAUGAAUUUUAAGAAAUAAGACCAAGUUGAUUUUUCCUCAACCUCUUGCCUGGAAAUUCACAAGAAAUAGUGAUCCAAACUGUACAAUAAGAGUGCCCGGAAUUAAAAGAAGCCACUCAAACUGAGAGGCCAUCCAAAAGGCCCAAUGAGAUACCUUUUCUCCUUCACUAUACAAUCCCUAUUUUGCCUACCACUAUUUGGCCCCUCAAAAAAAAAAAAAAAAAAAAAAAUCAAUCGCAUUGAUUGAUAAAUUGCAAAUUGGGGCAGCCUUGGUUUGAAAAUGUCCAUUGUGUCUAAUCAAAUUCAAUCCACAUCUGAGUGAAAGCAAAAAUGUACAUAUUUCUUAUUUGUUUUGAAAAUUUGGAAUGAUACUUUAGGCUUUUGUUUCUCUAUACAGAUCCUAUCAUUUGUUUUCCCAUUUGAGAUAAAAAAAAAAAAGUACUUCGUUUCAAAUAAGAGCCUCAAUGAUCAUGACCUUACAUGAAAAGAAUUUCCAAAUGUCAAAAGAAAAUGGAUUCUUAAUGAGCUAUUAUUUUCUUGGGUUGUCAUGAAGCGUAAGAAUGAUGUUUUGGCCAUCGUUUCUGUAAUCUAAACACUUUUAUCCCUUGCAUCCUCAUUUGAGCCUAAAUUAGUGGUUCGUUUCAAAAGCACCUAUGAUCGCACCCGACAUUGGGGAAGGAGAUUUCAAAAAAAAAAAAAGAAGGGAGAAAAUGCUACAAGUUGAGGAAAUUUGAUUCUACCAUCAAUAUUUGGGCUUUAAUUUUGACAAAGAAAAAAAAAAAAAGAAAAGGGAAGAGUUUUGUCCGCACAAAUCGCCUAUGUUCCACAGAUAUGGAUGAACAAGGGUCUCACUCAGUCAGUUAAUUCAGAUACAUGCAAGAAAUUUCGCAUUAAUGAAAGUUUCUUUUCAGGGUUAUUGUAAGGAACGGAAUAAAAGUCAGACCCUCUUCUUUUUCAAUCAGACAUUCUAUCCCUAGUUAUCCCUUUUGAGCCUUCAUCAUAAAUUAUUUCGUUUGGCAACCUCUGAGAAUCGCAAACCCCACACUGGGGCAAGUUUGAGUUGAAAAGUUUCAAGAAAUGAAAAGUGAUAAUGCAACAAAAUCAAAAGGAAAAGAGAAAAGAGAACCUCAGUUCAAAAAAUAAAUUGGGGCAAAUUUUGUGAAAAUUCAAAAAAAUGGCAGAAGGCUGAAAAAUCGAAAGAAAAUGAAAGAGAAAAAGCCUCAAUUGAGCACAAGCUCUGGCAAAUUUUGAUUUAACCCUAAAAUAGAGUUGGCACAAUAAUGCGAUCUCAGAUUCUUCAAACCACUUUUGAAAUCCGUUUUCAAGCUUUAACUUUUCUAAGCACCCACCUGACCCCAUUACAAAGCCGAAAGUCCUGACUUCUGUUCUUUGCAAUGGCCUUGUUGAGAAAAUUUCUGAUGCCGAAAAUUUUAGCUGCCUGGGUAUGGGGUUGACGCCACGCGCCCUGUGAAAACCCACCAAGUUGAGGGAAAGGAAAAGAGAGCGAAUGCAAAAGAAAAAUGUAAAAAGAUUUGAUGCUGAAAGUCCCUGGUGAAUGUUGAGAAAAUGCAAACAAAUUCUGAGAUCUUUGAGUUCAGAAUAGGGCAAUUUUGGAAAAAUGCGAUCUUCGGUACAAUGUCCUUGAAAGUCUUAUUCUUUAACUAUCAUUUUCAAGCCACAUUACAAGCUCAUAAAGUCCAUCGCUGACUUAUCCUUCAUGACAACCCAAAGUGAGAUUAUGCUCAUAAGAAAUCCAUCAAUCAUUUUGUAAUCAUAAGGGUAUAACCAGUUUUCACAUGUUUAACUAUCGUUUCUACCCAUACAUUACAAGCCUACAUGUUGACUAAAUUUUCUCAAGAAAUAAGAGUGAUAAACCAUUUGCUUUCACUAAGAUGUGAUAUUGAAUGUGUUGGAUACAAUUUGGAAAAAAAAAAAAAAGAAAAAGAUCCUGAUAUACCAUCUCCGUGAGCCACCUCAAAAUCCUGAAUAAUAUCCAUUUGAUUGGUUCUAAAAGAUGAGCUAACAAGAAGGGGACAUUUUUCCCUCAACACCGAUCCCAAAAUGAGGAAGAGAUCUUUUGCAAUUUGGUCCUAUUUUGAGAGAUUUAUCAUGGAAUCUUCUAUAUGAGUUUGGAUAUGACAUUUAAAUUCUUCAUUUGACAAAUAUGAUUUUUAUUCACAUUGUAUGUGAUUAUUUUGCAACUAAAAUAAGCCCAAAUUGGGGCAAAAUUUUUUGUAAUAUAUCUGUGAGAUUUCACCAAAUAAAUUCAAAUUGAGGCAAAAUUUUAUAAUACAUUUGUAGGAUAUGUCCAAGGUCAAGUAUAUAUUUUUCAAUUUUUUGAUAAGUCAACACUUUGCAUGGAUCUUAAUUGUUAUAUCAUAACUCAAAAAAAAAAAAGGAGAAAAAGGAAAAGAAAAAGAAUUUUGAAGAUUCAAUUGUUUCGAAAAAUCCCUCACUUGUGCAGGUGUUUAUGGUUAACAUCGAGGAAAAGAUACAAGCGAAAAUGUUGCAAAUUUGGAGAGCUAUCAUGAAUAAAAGAGGGCAAUAAUGCUACAUUGCAAAGUGGAGGAUCGGUUAUUUGUUCAAAAAAAAAAAAAAAGUGCAUGAUUCGGCAGCAAAAAACAAAAAAAAACAAAAAAAGAGAGGAAAAGGGAAUGAAAAAGAAAAGAAAGGGGGAAUGAAAAAAAAAGAAGAGAGAAUAAUAAAAAAGGAGGAAAAAAUGGAAAAACAAAAAAAAGAAGAGAAUAAUAAAAAAGGAGGAAAAAAUGGAAAAACAAAAAAAAGAGAGAAUAAAAAAAGGGGGAUUAAAAAAAAAGAGUUUUUCCUUCGAUUUUGCAAAUUUUUGCAAUUGAACUCUGGGAGCAUUUCACUUGGAGAUUACAUUUCUAAGUUGGGACAACACCUUGCCCUUUUAUGCUGAAAUGGAAGUGGUAAUACAUGCCAAGACCGAGAUCCCGUCCUUGCACAUUUUGACAAAGGUUCAGGCAGAAGAAAUCAAAUGGAUCAAGGAGCACAAUGAGUUGCUAUCUCUGAUUGAUGAAAAGAUGUUGAAUGUUUGCCAUGAACAAUGCUAUCAUCAAAUGAUGGUGGCAAUUUCUUUGUUUUUUCUCUCUUGCAGAAAAAUUGCAUGCACAAAUGAAAGCAAUCACACCUCGCACUAGAACCGGUGCCGGAAAGAGUUCUCCAGUGAACAAAGGCAAAUCGAAAAUGUUGCAAGCAAAUUUGAUUAAAAGGUGCAACAACAUGGCGAUACAGAAUCAACUAUGGACUCAAGUUGCAAAAAUUCAUCAUAUUGGGGCAAAUUAAUUUUUUGGAAAGAUUCUCAAGAGUCAAAAAGAAAAGCGAAAAGAAAAGAAAAAUCACCAGACAAAAAUAAAAAAAAAUCAAUCAGAUCAAGUUCAUCACGGCAAGCUCGGGUUUUGAUCCCACUGUCGAUUGUCAAAAGCAUUUCAUUUUCAUUGCUACUGGAGCUGGGUUUGUCCCACCAGUAAGCAUUUCGUUUACAUCGCUACUGGAGCUGGGUUUGUCCCGCCAGUAAGCAUUUCAUUUUCAUCGCUGCUGGAGCUGGGUUUGUCCCGCCAGUAAGCAUGUUCAUUUGCUUCCGCCGCUAGCCGUUGGGUUUGUCCCACUAGUGUGCCUUUCAUUUGCUUUCACCACUAGCCGUUGGGUUUGUCCCACUAGUGUGCCUUUUAAUUGCAUUCGCCGCUAGCCGUUGGGUUUGUCCCACUAGUGUGCCUUUCAUUUGCUUUCACCACUAGCCGUUGGGUUUGUCCCACUAGUGUGCCUUUUAAUUGCAUUCGCCGCUAGCCGUUGGGUUUGUCCCACUAGUGUGCCUUUCAUUUGCAUUCGCCACUAGCCGUUGGGUUUGUCCCACUAGUGUGCCUUUUAAUUGCAUUCGCUGCUAGCCGUUGGGUUUGUCCCACUAGUGUGCCUUUCAUUUGCUUUCACCACUAGCCGUUGGGUUUGUCCCACUAGUGUGCCUUUCAUUUGCAUCCGCCGCUAGCCGUUGGGUUUGUCCCACUAGUGUGCCUUUUAAUUGCAUUCGCCGCUAGCCGUUGGGUUUGUCCCACUAGUAUGCCUUUUAAUUGCAUUCGCCGCUAGCCGUUGGGUUUGUCCCACUAGUGUGCCUUUCAUUUGCUUUCACCACUAGCCGUUGGGUUUGUCCCACUAGUGUGCCUUUCAUUUGCAUCGCCGCUAGCCGUUGGGUUUGUCCCACUAGUGUGCCUUUCAUUUGCAUCCGCCGCUAGCCGUUGGGUUUGUCCCACUAGUGUGCCUUUUAAUUGCAUUCGCCGCUAGCCGUUGGGUUUGUCCCACUAGUGUGCCUUUCAUUUGCAUUCGCCACUAGCCGUUGGGUUUGUCCCACUAGUGUGCCUUUUAAUUGCAUUCGCCGCUAGCCGUUGGGUUUGUCCCACUAGUGUGCCUUUCAUUUGCUUUCACCACUAGCCGUUGGGUUUGUCCCACUAGUGUGCCUUUUAAUUGCAUCCGCCGCUAGCCGUUGGGUUUGUCCCACUAGUGUGCCUUUCAUUUGCAUCCGCCGCUAGCCGUUGGGUUUGUCCCACUAGUGUGCCUUUCAUUUGCUUUCACCACUAGCCGUUGGGUUUGUCCCACUAGUGUGCCUUUUAAUUGCAUUCGCCGCUAGCCGUUGGGUUUGUCCCACUAGUGUGCCUUUCAUUUGCAUUCGCCGCUAGCCGUUGGGUUUGUCCCACUAGUGUGCCUUUUAAUUGCAUUCGCCACUAGCCGUUGGGUUUGUCCCACUAGUGUGCCUUUCAUUUGCAUUCGCCACUAGCCGUUGGGUUUGUCCCACUAGUGUGCCUUUUAAUUGCAUUCGCCGCUAGCCGUUGGGUUUGUCCCACUAGUGUGCCUUUCAUUUGCAUCCGCCGCUAGCCGUUGGGUUUGUCCCACUAGUGUGCCUUUCAUUUGCUUUCACCACUAGCCGUUGGGUUUGUCCCACUAGUGUGCCUUUUAUUCUGUUGCAUCCGCAUCGCUAGCCGUUGGGUUUGUCCCACUAGUGUGCCUUUUAAUUGCAUUCGCCGCUAGCCGUUGGGUUUGUUCCACUAGUGUGCCUUUCAUUUGCUUUCACAGCACUAGCCGUUGGGAUUUGUCCCACUAGUGUGCCUUUCAUUUGCAUCCGCCGCUAGCCGUUGGGUUUGUCCCACUAGUGUGCCUUUUAAUUGCAUUCGCCGCUAGCCGUUGGGUUUGUCCACUAGUGUGCCUUUCAUUUGCAUUCGCACUAGCCGUUGGGUUUGUCCCACUAGUGUGCCUUUUAAUUGCAUUUCGCCGCUAGCCGUUGGGUUUGUCCCACUAGUGUGCCUUUCAUUUGCUUUCACCACUAGCCGUUGGGUUUGUCCCACUAGUGUGCCUUUCAUUUGCAUUCGCCACACUAGUGUGCCUUUUAAUUGCAUUCGCCACUAGCCGUUGGGUUUGUCCCACUAGUGUGCCUUUCAUUUGCAUCCGCCGCUAGCCUUGGGUUUGUCCCACUAGUGUGCCUUUCAUUUGCUUUCACCACUAGCCGUUGGGUUGUCCCACUAGUGUGCCUUUCAGUUGCAUCCGCCGCUAGCCGUUGGGUUUGUCCCACUAGUGUGCACUUUUACUUGCAUUCGCCGCUAGCCGUUGGGUUUGUCCCACUAGUGUGCCUUUCAUUUGCAUUCGCCGCUAGCCGUUGGGUUGUCCCACUAGUGUGCCUUUUAAUUGCAUACGCGCGCUAGCCGUUGGUUUGUCCACUAGUGUGCCUUUCAUUUGCUUUCACCACUAGCCGUUGGGGUUUGUCCCACUAGUGUGCCUUUCAUUUCAUCCGCCGCUAGCCGUGUGGGUUGUCCCACUAGUGUGCCUUUUAAUUGCAUUCGCCGCAGCCGUUGGGUUUGUCCCACUAGUGUGCCUUUUAAUUGCAUUCGCCGCUAGCCGUUGGCUUUGUCCCACUAGUGUGCCUUUCAUUUGUUUUCACACACACUUUUACUUGCAUUCGCCGCUAGCCGUUGGGUUUGUCCCACUAGUGUGCCUUUCAUUUGCAUGCGCCGCUAGCCGUUGGGUUUGUCCCACUAGUGUGCACCAUGAUUUUAAUUUUAUUCGGCCAGUCCCAUGACUUUUAAAUUUUAUUCGGGUCAGUCCCAUGAUUUUAAAUCUUUUGUUCGGGUCAGUCCCAUGUUUAAUUUUAUUCGGGCCAGUCCCAUGACUUUUAAAUUUUAUUCGGCCAGUCCAUGAUUUUAAUUUUGUUCGGGUCAGUCCCAUGAUGUUAAAUCUUAUUCGGGUCAGUCUAAUGAUUUUAAUUUUGUUCGGGUCAGUCCCAAGAUUUAAGCUUUAUUCGGUGUCAGUCCCAUGAUUUUAAGCUUUAUUCGGGUCAGUCCAUGAUUUUUUAAAUUUUGUUCGGGUCAGUCCCAUGAUGUUAAAUCUUAUACGGGUCAGUCCCAUGUUUUAAUCUCUCGUUCGGGUCAGUCCUAUGUUUAAUUUCUCGUUCGAGUAAGUCCCAUGUUUAAUUUCCUGUUCGAGUCAGUCCCAUGUUUAAAUUCUCGAGUCAGUCCCAUGAUAAAUUCUUGCUCGGAUCAGUUCCAUGUUUAAUUUCUCAUUCAGGUCUAUCCACCAAUUUGUUAUUUAAAAAAAAAAAAAAAAUCAUUAAAUCAAGAUCAAAUUUAAAUUCCUGUUGGAGCGUAAUCGCGUCCCUCCGCGCAUCAAUUUAAAUUCCUGUUGGUGAGUCUCAGCGUCCACCGCGUACCCUUCUAUCUCCCCUUCUUGACAAAUUUAAAUUCCUGUUGGAGCGUAAUCGCGUCCUCCGCGCAUCAAUUUAAAUUCCUGUUGGUGAGUCUCAGCGUCCACCGCGCACACCUUCUAUCUCCCCUUCUGACAAUUUAAUUUCCUGUUGGAGCGUAAUCGCGUCCCUUCCGCGCAUCAAUUUAAAUUCCUGUUGUGAGUCUCAGCGUCCACCGCGCACCCUUCUAUCUCCCCUUCUUGACAGAUCAGAAGAAUCAAUUUAAAUUCCUGUUGGUGAGUCUCAGCGUCCACCGCGUACCCUUCUAUCUCCCCUUCUUGACAAAUUUAAAUUCCUGUUGGAGCGUAAUCGCGUCCCUCCGCGCAUCAAUUUAAAUUCCUGUUGGUGAGUCUCAGCGUCCACCGCGCACCCUUCUAUCUCCCCUUCUUGACAGAUCAGAAGAAUCAAUUUAAAUUCCUGUUGUGAGUCUCAGCGUCCACCGCGUACCCUUCUAUCUCCCCUUCUUGACAAAUUUAAUUUUCUGUUGGAGCGUAAUCCGUCCCUCCGCGCAUCAUUUAAAUUCCUGUUGGUGAGUCUCAGCGUCCACCGCGCACCCUUCUAUCUCCCAUUCUUGACAAAUUUAAAUUCUUGUUGGUGAGUCUCAGCGUCCACCGCGCACCCUUCUAUCUCCCUUCUAUCAAUUUAAAUUCCUGUUGGUGAGUCUCAGCGUCCACACGCGCACCCUUCUAUCUCCCAUUCUUGACAAAUUUAAUUUUCUGUUGGACGCGUAAUCGCGUCCCUCCGCAUCAAUUUAAAUUCUUGUUGGUGAGUUUCAGCGUCCACCGCGCACCCUUCUACCUCCCAUUCUUGACAAUUGCAUUUGAUUUCCUGUUGGAGCGUAACCGCGUCCCUCCGCGCAUGUUUUUAUAGUUGUGACAAGUUACUUUUCUUGACUGUUUUGAUUAAUAAUUGUGCUUUCUCAUUCAUUUUGUGUUUCAUGUUUAGAGAUCUAAAAGUUCAAAUUUUUUUGACUUUGCAAAGAUCACAGUUGGUCAAUGCACUGGUUUCAUUGUGGUUCACUUGUAUUUGAACUACGUUUGACCUGAUUCCCGUGGUGGGAUACGUAGGCAACUCUACAAGAGUUCGGUCACGUGUUUUGCAACUUAAUUGCAUCAUUUUGUUCAAUAAUUUCAGCCAAGCGUUGACCUGUUUAUUUAAUUCAGGUGCAGUUAGAAGAAACAGGUAAGCGAUUUGGUGUCUACGUCUUUGUCUUGACUUUCUUCGAAAUUUCAGACAAAGAGGGGCAAGCUGUAGACACCAAAUUUUUAUCAAUUUUAAUAUUUUCCUCGAUUAUUUUCUAUUUGAUGAGUCAUUUAUUUUCAUGUGUAUUUUUCUUAUAUUUGCAGGUUUAUUUUAGCAAAAGAAAAACAAAAAAAAAAUCAAAAAAAAAAUAGAAAAUAAAAAAAAGGGCAUCAUGAUGUCUAGUCAUCAUGAUGUCUCUGGACAUCAUGAUGACUAGACAUCAUGAUCCCAUCUUUUGACCGAGGAGCAACGGAUGGAAAUUGAAGAAAAGGCUCCAAAAUUGCGUGAGGAGUCCCUGGAGCUCCAACGGACAGAAAGAAAAAUGCUCUCCCGAGCUCUUCUCAGAAGCUCUGAACAGACGAAGGAAAAAACUGCAGAGAGGUUCUCAGGAGCUCAGGGGACCGAAAAGAAAAAAACACCCCUCAUUUGCUCCCUCUCUCAGGCCUCGGUGCAGAAGGAAAAUUUGCAGAGAGGCCCCUGAUUCACUCUCGCAUCUCUCCCUCUCUCGGACGAAGGCUACGGACAGAAAACAGAGAGGGAAAGAAAUUUUUGCAGAAGAGAUCCCUAGCUCAAUUUCUCUCGGUGGAGCAAUGGAACAAAAGAAGGGAAGGAAGAAAAUUGCUCCGAGGACCUCGACUGAGGCAGAAGCAGAAAAGAGAAGGAAUUUGCAGCAGAGGUCCCUGGAUCAUCUCCAGAACUCUCUUCCUCUCUCUCGGACUUGUGUAGAAGAAAGGGGCAAGGCCAAUAAAAAUGAUUGGAGCUUGCAAUUUCAUCAAAUUUUAAUCAAGAGACUACAAUCUUCAUUGAGGUAUUUAUUCUUUUAUCUUUUUUCCAACUUUUUCCUUUCUUUAAUUUAUUAAAUUAAAUACAUGAUUUGAUGUUUGUUUGUCCCUUGGCUUCGUUUGUUGUUGUUACUGAUGUUGUUGAAUUUUUGGGGAAUCCAUGAAUAAACAUUAAAAAAAAUGAUUUCUGUGAAUGCAUGAUAAUUGUUUGAAAAAUGUGAAAAAUGAAAAAAAUGAAUUUCAAGGGCUGUUUUGCUUUAUUUUAAUUUUUUUUAUGUUGUUUUCUUGUCAAAUAAAAUCAUACUUAUAUGUAGGAAUUGUAAGGAGUGUUGUAGUAUAAUUUUUAUGAUUUUUGGUGAAAAUUUGAGUAUUUUAAAAAUAAUAAAAAUCGUGGCUGUUUCUGGCAUUUUGACUAUCUUCGAAUUGUUUUCUGUGCAAACUAAAUCCGGAUUUGGAAUCUACUCGAAAAAUCGAGUGAAAAUGUGUGUUUUAAUAAUUUUUGGUGACCGGAAAAAUUGCCGGCGAUCGGUAACCGGAGGCACCGUCAGCGGUAACCACGGGCACCGACAGAAUGUUGUAGGAAAAGUUGCAGAAGUUGAUUUCCGAAGCUUUGCAUGAUAAUCUGGAAAAUUUGCGGUUCAGCCCCCCGAACUUUUAAAUAAUUACAUUGUGGCCCAAAAGCUUUUGUAAUUGGACCAGUCUUGUCCCUAUUGAGUUUUUUAUUUUCUUUUUCAUAUUUUAACUGCAUUUCAAGUAUGUUGUUUCUGUGAUUUGAGGGUGUAAUUAUAUUUUAAUAAUUUUGAUAGAUUUAUUAUUUUGAUUGGGUUUGAUAAAAUAAUUGGAGUUUUUGGGUUGAGAUUUGUUUGGUUGGGUUUUGGUAUAAAAUUUGGGUCAUUUUAUUGGGUUUUAGAAAUGGGUUUUGGUUUAUUUCUUGUGGGUUUGGGUUGGGCUAAGAAGUCAAAACCCAUGUAUUUAUUUGAGUUGAAUUGAGUGAUAAAAAAGACGGGCUGCCCAUUUCUUUCUUGGAUUUUCAGUUGGGCUGAGAGGGUUUUCGGCCCAAACAAAUAAAUAAAAUGGCCCAGUGGCCCAUUUGGCUGAGAAAUCUGGUUACGAAAUUGCAAAUCAGUCCCUGUACCCUUGAGCAUUUUCUCUAUGGCCCUAAAUAUUUUGAUUUCUUUCAAUCAGAUCCUUCAUAUAAUUGUAAAUAGGUCCCUGAACUUUAUUUUUAUUUAAUUGUGAUCCCAUAUCUUUGUGAUAAUUAUAAUUUGCCCCCAAAACUUUGUUUAUUUUUGCAAUUAGAUCCUUAACAGAUUGGAUUGCUUAAAUAGAAGUUGCUUUUCUUCUAUAAUCAUUGAUUACACUUCAUUUAAGUGUUUCAAUUGAUUGAUUUCAUUUUUAUUUCCAUUUGCUAUGAUUUAUUUGUUAUUUAAAUUGGUGCCUUGAUGAUUUUGUUAAUUUUGGAGGUAAAUAGGGCAAAUCCAAUUUCCAUUAAUUACUACUUCAAGGGAGGUAUCUUCUUGUAUCAUUUUAAAUCCUCUUAUGUGCUCCAAUGUGUUUUAUGUGCAAUCACAUGUUUCGAGUGUUAUUCUUUUAUUUAUUAUUAUUCUUUUCUUUUUAUUAUUGUGAUUCAUUUUUAAUUUUAUUUAUUUUAUUUUAUUUUAUUCUUGAUUAUUUGAGAAGGCAAUUAAAUGUCACAAUUGUAAUAGUUAGGUAUUUAUUUUAAUUAUUUAUUUUAUUUCCCUUUUAGAUUGUAGUAGGCUUCCCCCCUAAUGUAAUAGUUAGGGCUUGUUUGCUUUAUUUACUUGGUGUGAUUUGCGUGCUUCUUGCUACGUGUUACUGUUUUUCUUAGGAUAUUUGCAUCUAGAUAUUAUGCUUACAUGUUAUGUGUUACGUGCUCUUAUGUGUUUAUUUAUUUUAAUUUAUACUUUAUUUGUUUACUAUGUAUUGUUAAUGCAUAACGUCACCACACUAGUCCAACGCUAGUUGUGGCUUCUCCUUCUAUUUACUUGCUAGUCCAACGCUAGUAAGGAUUUCUAGAAAUGGGCUAGUCCAACGCUAGACCCGUAUAUGGUUCAUGCAUUAGAUUCAUUGUUGUAUGAUAUUUAUUACAUUUUCAUGCAUAUUUUAUUUUUUAGGAUCUUUUCUCAUUUGCAUGAUAUUUUCAAUUAUAUUAUCCUCUACCCCUUACCCUCUACAUAUGUUAAUCAUAUCAUUUAGAAUUGCAUUUCAUUUAAGAAAUUGUGGAAUAAGUUAGUUCAUUCGCUUGUUCAUAUUAGAAUAAUUAUUCUUUGAACAGGAAAUGGGUUAUUAUGACUUUUUUAGUUUAAAUAUCCCAUUAAUCCCUGUAUGAUAAAAUUAUGUCACGAGUUUUUGUCUCCCGUACCCAUUAUGAUGCAUCCCUAUUCUUUGAUCACUUAUAUCUAUGUAUAGAAUUUAAUUUGCUUCUUCUGUUUAUUUGAUUUCAUCAUUUGCAUAUUCGUGACUCCUUCAAGAUAUUGUUUUGGCCUUCGCAAUUAAUGCGAUUGAUACCAAGUAAACCCUUGAAUGAACAUUUUGUCCCUCUCGAUAUUUCUAUUUGCAUCCAUGUAGAAAACAUCCAAAUGUGAUAAAUUUAAAGGUUAGAUUAAGAAAAUUUUGACUAAACCACGCAACUAGCUUAGACUAGGUUGAAAGGGUGCCUUAGGUUUGAGUUGAUUGAACCUUUGCCUUCCCUUUCUUCAACCGUGACUCCCGAACUCAUUUUCUCUUGUUUUCAAAGACCUGGAGUUGUCUAAAAGGGUUUUAUAUAUUUUAUUUUUGUUAAAAAUAUUUUGUGACUUGGUACACCAAAACUCAAUAUCAAUGGCGACUCCUAAUUUUCUUAAAAAAUCCUUUUCAGACUAAAUUUUGACCCAAAUCGUCGCAUUUUUUUAAGUCCCAUUCUUGGUCCUUUUUCAUUUAUUUUUUUAAUAAAUCACAUCUUUUUAUAAACUCAUUUUAUUUUCCCAUCGGAAAAAUGGGGCGCGACAGCUUGGCGACUCCACUGGACCGCUAGAGAGUCCAAGCACUUGGUUUAGUUGUUCUUUUCUCUUUUUAACCCUUUUAUUUAUCAUAUUUGGAUGUUUUAGGUUGCAUUUUUCUUUUGUUUUGCAUUUCACACUCGUAAUCGUUCCUCGUUUUACGUGUAUGGGAUGAAUGGCUUAUUUAUUAUUUAUUCGUAUCACCUUUGCAUUUGGGUGGGGGAAAAUAUCACCGUAGAGCCUCCAUGCUUGUUUUAAUAAUCCCUCCCUUCAAAAGAAGCACUUCAUACGUGCAUGCACUACUUUUCACCAUAUUUUUAUUUUCUCGUGGGCGCCAUCCCACAUCUCCUUGUAGGAUUAGGAUCGAUUUCCUUAGGUAGGCGGAUGGUGUGCUCUGCGCCCAUAGCGAUGCUUAAGGGAUCACUCAAGCCACCGACCGAAGGUUUUAGGAUUGAUGACCUACUAAUUUUUUGGUCUGAAGGCUCGGGGACCUUAAAACCUAUCGAGUCUAGAUGCAUUAGUGAGCCCAUACCCCAUGCAUCCAUAUUAGAAAUUACCUAAGAUAAGAGUCAACAUAUCCAGUUAGGACACUAAGCACGAGGGGAGGGAUUUUACCCCUCUUUCUUUGCUUUAUUUACUUUUUAUCCUUGUAUCAUUUAUUGUCACAAUGUGUUAUAUGUUACUUGUUGAACUAACCUCUCCUUGUUUUCCCUUUUUCUGCAUACACAAACUUUAGAAAUAAGAGUUCUAACAUGGUACUCGUUUAAGAUAAGACCGCCUCUUAUAUCAAGCAUGUUUAAAUUUUAGUCAAUUGCAUAUGCAUAUGUAUUGCACAUCAUUUUAGGCUUACCCCGGCAUUUAAAGGGGGCACUUUUAGGUCAUAUUUCAAUUAUUUAAUCGCUUUAAUAAAUUGGCAUCAUGCAUCAACUAUAGAGGGAAUGCCGUAUAGGGAAUCCCGUGUUAGGAAUAAACCACCUUAUGUCUCGGAUAUAUAAUCCAAUGAGACUUGCACGUUUAUUUUUUUUGUACUGUCCAAAGGGGUAGUGCACGAGGUAAGGUAAGAUCCGAUCUUUUUCAAAGACGGCAGAGCAAUUUUUUGCACAUUAGAAUAUGAGCAUCUAACAAUCAUCUUUUGGCCAUUUUCAACAUAGUUGGUAAAAAUCCCUUGCUUAAAGGAUAUUGACUUGAAGAAAUUCACAAAUGAUUCCUCAUUGUUGAGACGAUAAAUAUAUUGAGGCCAAAUCUUGAUUUUAGGAGGCUCAUAGACUAAUGCAUCGCAAUGAAUUUUGAAAAUUACCAAUGAGUGGACAAUUCAAUCCAUUUUUGAAUAAAACAUCAAUUUCAAUCAAUUCAUUUGAUCAAUUUAUCCUUUUUGGGUGAUCUGGUCGAUUUUUGAAUAAAUCAUUAACUUCAUUUCAUUCAUUUGGCCAAUUCACCCAUUUUUAGGGCAAUCGAACUGAUUUUGAAUAAAUCAAGUUUCACUCAAUCCAUUUGACCAAUCUACCCUUUUUUAGGGUGAUCCGAUCAAUUUUGAAUAAAUCAAAUUUCAUUCAAUUCAUUUGACCAAUCUACCUAUUUUUAGUGCAAUUCGGUCGAUUUUAAAUAAAUCAUCAAUUCCAUCCUAUCCAUUUGACCCGUUUUUUUUUCCUUUAGGGUCUAAGCCUAAGAUUCAUUGAAUAAAUUAAUCGAGACAAUGCAAUCUCUUUCACACAUCAUUUUAUGUGUUGAUCGAAACAAGCAAUCCAUUCGGACUUUGUCCUCAUUUUUCAAACAAAUGUCUCUUCUCACUCCAAUUGGCCAAGUUUUUCAAAUCAUUUUUUUCACUCAAUCAAUUGAUCGGAUUCAUCAGGUAUUGUAUGGUGCCUACACUAGAGGAUUGCAUUUUCAUGUUAGGCCUACCCUUGGCAUAAAAGGGCUCCCCCAUAGGACAUGCAUACCGAUUUUGUAGUCUUACCUACUGACUCGGGGUAUUUUUCUUUUGUUUCCCCCCUCCCCUGCAUUCAUAAAAAUGCUUUAAUAAGGUGAAAAUAUUUUUCUAUGUCUGCUAAAAUUUGAGAACUACAAGUAUUAUUUGAUUCUUGGGCAGAUCCUACAAUGAAAACAUGAAAGAUCCAUCUGAAAGCUUUGGGCUAAAGCCUCUGAGAGACUUUAUAAUUAUUUUUCAAAGGGAACUUUCGUUUAUUUGAUUUGAUUAUACAUUUUGUUCCAAAAGAAAGGGAGACAAAAGCGUAUAUGUGGGGUUUUGUAGAAGUUUUCUCUUCUCAUUUGUAUUAUAAUUCAACAAGAAAUUUUUGUUUUAAACUUUUUCAGCAAUAAAGUUUUAGACAAUUAUUGUUUUGUAUAUAAUCAUGUACAUUUCAUUCUUUCUGUUGCUCAUUGGAGAUUUCAUGAUGAAUUUUAAGAAAUAAGACCAAGUUGAUUUUUCCUCAACCUCUUGCCUGGAAAU